AGAUACCUUACUGUUGCCUCGGCGGAUCAGCCCGCUCCCGGUAAAACGGGACGGCCCGCCAGAGGACCCCUAAACUCUGUUUCUAUAUGUAACUUCUGAGUAAAACCAUAAAUAAAUCAAAACUUUCAACAACGGAUCUCUUGGUUCUGGCAUCGAUGAAGAACGCAGCAAAAUGCGAUAAGUAAUGUGAAUUGCAGAAUUCAGUGAAUCAUCGAAUCUUUGAACGCACAUUGCGCCCGCCAGUAUUCUGGCGGGCAUGCCUGUUCGAGCGUCAUUUCAACCCUCAAGCCCUCGGGUUUGGUGUUGGGGAUCGGCGAGCCUUUCUGGCAAGCCGGCCCCGAAAUCUAGUGGCGGUCUCGCUGCAGCCUCCAUUGCGUAGUAGUAAAACCCUCGCAACUGGAACGCGGCGCGGCCAAGCCGUUAAACCCCCAACUUCUGAAUGUUGACCUCGGAUCAGGUAGGAAUACCCGCUGAACUUAAGCAUAUCAAA
RNAcentral lists this ribosomal RNA (490 nucleotides) under Nectriaceae sp. osu_besc_10957c. RNAcentral describes it as "eukaryotic LSU rRNA". The stretch from base 121 to 274 matches the Rfam family "5.8S ribosomal RNA". The record is from RNAcentral. Lineage: Eukaryota; Fungi; Ascomycota; Sordariomycetes; Hypocreales; Nectriaceae.